GGCGCUCCCCUGCUAAGGGAGUAGGCCCGGAAGGGUCUCGAGGGUUCGAAUCCCUUCGUCUCCGCCA
Molecule: transfer RNA, 67 nt
Filed under: Sulfitobacter sp.
Lineage: Bacteria; Pseudomonadati; Pseudomonadota; Alphaproteobacteria; Rhodobacterales; Roseobacteraceae
Description: tRNA-OTHER
Rfam family: tRNA
About the family: Transfer RNA (tRNA) molecules are approximately 80 nucleotides in length.
Source: RNAcentral